UUGGUGAGGUAGUGGCUCACCAAGGCGACGACGGGUAGCCGGCCUGAGAGGGCGACCGGCCACACUGGGACUGAGACACGGCCCAGACUCCUACGGGAGGCAGCAGUGGGGAAUAUUGCACAAUGGGCGAAAGCCUGAUGCAGCGACGCCGCGUGAGGGAUGACGGCCUUCGGGUUGUAAACCUCUUUCAGCAGGGAAGAAGCGAAAGUGACGGUACCUGCAGAAGAAGCGCCGGCUAACUACGUGCCAGCAGCCGCGGUGAUACGUAGGGCGCAAGCGUUGUCCGGAAUUAUUGGGCGUAAAGAGCUCGUAGGCGGCUUGUCACGUCGGGUGUGAAAGCCCGGGGCUUAACCCCGGGUCUGCAUUCGAUACGGGCUAGCUAGAGUGUGGUAGGGGAGAUCGGAAUUCCUGGUGUAGCGGUGAAAUGCGCAGAUAUCAGGAGGAACACCGGUGGCGAAGGCGGAUCUCUGGGCCAUUACUGACGCUGAGGAGCGAAAGCGUGGGGAGCGAACAGGAUUAGAUACCCUGGUAGUCCACGCCGUAAACGGUGGGAACUAGGUGUUGGCGACAUUCCACGUCGUCGGUGCCGCAGCUAACGCAUUAAGUUCCCCGCCUGGGGAGUACGG
RNAcentral lists this ribosomal RNA (626 nucleotides) under uncultured bacterium. Its description in RNAcentral is "bacterial SSU rRNA". It matches the Rfam family "Bacterial small subunit ribosomal RNA", at positions 249 to 885 of the family's 1533-position model. The record is from RNAcentral.